GACGAACGCUGGCGGCGUGCUUAACACAUGCAAGUCGAACGGAAAGGCCCCGCUUUUGUGGGGUGCUCGAGUGGCGAACGGGUGAGUAACACGUGAGUAACCUGCCCUUGACUUUGGGAUAACUUCAGGAAACUGGGGCUAAUACCGGAUAGGAGCUCCUGCUGCAUGGUGGGGGUUGGAAAGUUUCGGCGGUUGGGGAUGGACUCGCGGCUUAUCAGCUUGUUGGUGGGGUAGUGGCUUACCAAGGCUUUGACGGGUAGCCGGCCUGAGAGGGUGACCGGCCACAUUGGGACUGAGAUACGGCCCAGACUCCUACGGGAGGCAGCAGUGGGGAAUAUUGCACAAUGGGCGGAAGCCUGAUGCAGCAACGCCGCGUGCGGGAUGACGGCCUUCGGGUUGUAAACCGCUUUCGCCUGUGACGAAGCGCGAGUGACGGUAAUGGGUAAAGAAGCACCGGCUAACUACGUG
Molecule: ribosomal RNA, 468 nt
Filed under: uncultured bacterium
Lineage: Bacteria
Description: partial 16S ribosomal RNA
Rfam family: Bacterial small subunit ribosomal RNA
Source: RNAcentral